This 505-nucleotide ribosomal RNA is filed under the name uncultured bacterium. RNAcentral describes it as "partial 16S ribosomal RNA". It matches the Rfam family "Bacterial small subunit ribosomal RNA", at positions 28 to 507 of the family's 1533-position model. The record is from RNAcentral.
GACGAACGCUGGCGGCGUGCCUAAUACAUGCAAGUCGAACGCACAGUUUAUACCGUAGCUUGCUACACCAUAAACUGUGAGUUGCGAACGGGUGAGUAACGCGUAGGUAACCUGCCUGGUAGCGGGGGAUAACUAUUGGAAACGAUAGCUAAUACCGCAUAAUAUUGAUUAUUGCAUGAUAAUUGAUUGAAAGAUGCUAUUGCAUCACUACCAGAUGGACCUGCGUUGUAUUAGCUAGUAGGUGAGGUAACGGCUCACCUAGGCGACGAUACAUAGCCGACCUGGGAGGGUGAUCGGCCACACUGGGACUGAGACACGGCCCAGACUCCUACGGGAGGCAGCAGGAGGGAAUCUUCGGCAAUGGACGAAAGUCUGACCGAGCAACGCCGCGUGAGUGAAGAAGGGUUUCGGAUCGUAAAGCUCUGUUGUAAGAGAAGAACGGGUGUGAGAGUGGAAAGUUCACACUGUGACGGUAGCUUACCAGAAAGGGACGGCUAACUACGUG